CGCAAGUCAAUCUACUUCAAAAUUAGAAUUGUGAGAAUGGCGUGCGUCCUUUGAUGUGGACCCCCGCAGUGGCGACCAACUUGGCCCAUUGGCUCAGCCCAUGGUCAUGUAAAAUACUUGGAACUUUUCAGUGGCUGUAGAGUGGCGGACACCCAAUUCUAUGUAACAAGUGCCGACUUUGCCAAUUUUAUUCACAAACGAGAUUCAUUAAUUAUGUCAAAUGAAGACCAAGUUUCCCAAUUUUGAAGAAUCUCAAAAUUGGGUUGAAAUUAAUCAACUUAUCGUUCAUGAAAUGAUUUCCCAAUUCAACAACACCGGCGGCCCGCAAAAGGGUUGUUUAACACUACCCUGUAAUGCCACGCGCCGCCAAAAUGAGCCGAUGAAAAAAUCCGGCCACUCUGCGGGUAAAAAAAAGGUUUUCCGGCAAUUUUUUUGGAAGUGGGCAAUCGUGUCCGCUUCUGAGUGGAACCGGUGAAAAGAAUCCGGUAUAAGCCGGUGGGUUUCGGAUUUGAGUUUGUAACAGGGGAGAGGAAAAAGAACGAGUUCUGAACAGAGAGGACGGCCGAGCCCAUAAACAAGGCUCGGAAUCAUACACAGAAACCAUAAUUCAAUUGGAAUCAUCCAAACAACAAAAAAUAAAACAUAAAGAAGCCUGGAAAAUGAUGCUGAAAACUGAAAGAUACACACCUGAUCCCACCCCACCAUAGAACAGUGGGUGGAUCACAAGUUACAGCUACAAAUAGAUAGAGAUACGUAUCAUGGUUGGAGAGGGAAGAUCUUUUUCUCAUUCUUGUCUGCGGUGGGUUUGGGUGGUUCAGCCCCUCCACCACCCUUGAUGGGGCGGUGCUCUCCGCAGCAAUUUGGGAGCAGGGUAGCAAUGGAAUCCACCACGUACUCCAGCAUCAUCGUCUUCACAAGCUUCCUCUUUUUAGGGAUGAGACUCCCUGUAUUUUUGGGUUUGAAGAUGGGAGGCUUUGUGGCCAUUUCCUCCAUCCCUCUGUUUGUCUCUCUCCCUAUCGACGGUUAAUUCAAGCACUGGUGGGUGGUGAGGAGUGAAGACUUAUGGGUUAUAUUAUGUAUAUAACCUUCAAGGCAGCCUUCCACAAGAAGGCGCCUCUUGUCCGUUGAUAUAUGGACACGUGGUGCUAGUGGAUUGAAGGAUAGAUUGCAGGACACGUGGUGUAGUAGAUUGAAGAAUAGAUUGCAGGAUACGUUGAUGGAAUCAGCACGAUUCUCCCAAUUUAUCAUCUAAUCUUAACAUGACUCUCUCCUGAUAUCCCACUUGUUUUGACACGACAUCAUCACUGACUCACUUUCUUUCUUCAAAGUUGCCAUGUGAUUAGCGAACCGCAUAAUGUAUGGAAAGGUUCCACUUUUUUGACCGAUGAGACAAAUUCUCUAUAUUAUUAAAGAAUAAUCGUAAGUUUGUUACAUAAUGAUUUAAUAAUUAGAUACAAUAAGUGAAAUCAAUUUAACUACAAGUUGGGAGCAUGCUAACCUUUGCGCAUUGGACACGUGUCGUCCCUAUUAUUAAGGACUGAUCUCCCCUUCCUGUUACCUUGGGUAACUUAAAAUUUUAAUAUCAUAUCUAAUUUUACAUUUUCACACCUAUGCUACUUUCAUAUUGAAAUUAAAGUUUAUAUAAAAUAUACUUAAUUUUGAAUUUUUGAAAGUAACAGGCAAUAGUUAAUUUUUAUAAUAUUUAAAUUGACAUUUUAUUAAAAAUUUGACAAAUAAUAUUAUUCUUUUCCCUAAAGGACAAUCCCAAACUAUUGGUCCUUUUGGCUAUACCCCAGAAAAUCUUUGACGUCUUUUCUCCGAUGUAACAAAGCCAAUCAUACGGCCACGUCAUCUCCGUAGAGCCCUAAUCCAAUACAGGUUCUCUCGAGGUCUACCACUUGCAGCUUUUCUUUUUUUUAAAAAAAUACAGACUAUUUCAUCCACUAACGUCAUGCCACGUUGAUACUUAAGACUUAAGAGAUCAAUAUUUUUUAAUUUAAUAUUCCAGUCACCAUUUAAAUUAAUUAAAAAAUAAAAAAUAAAAAAUUUACCAAAAACGCAAUAUUUAAAAGAAAAAUGAGAGGGACAAAUGAUUGUACUCGGCAUCGUCACAGACAAAAUAAAAAUAAAUUAAUGGAAAAGGAAGUACCGUCCCCUCACACUUUCCCAUACUGUCGUUAAGGGAACAUUCCCCUUUAAUUCAACAAAAAUUUCAAUAAAAUAUCCUUACUUUUCGAUACUUUCACGCACUUAUAUGUACUAAGUUAAUUACUACCAAAUCUAAUUCACAAAUGGGAUUAGUCAACUUUAUUUUUUGAUUUCUUACUUUGAAAGAAAAUGAUUCCUAUUGGUCUAUUUUCUUCUUCUUUCUUUAUUUAUUUUUUUUCUUUUCUUUUUCCGACAGAGGUUUCCAGAAGUUUCACCGAAACUUCCCAUCUUCCCAAAUGUCAAAGGUAGCGUAUUUUUUAAUGUUUAAAUUUUAUUCUAGUUAUUUAGUAAAAAAUUAUAAAAAAAAUUGAUUUCCACCUAUUUUGUGGUUAUGUUUAAAUAUAUUUUAUUUUAAAAAUAUUUAUAUUUAUUUAAUGAUUAUAUUAAUAAGUAAAAUCAUAUUCAUUUUAUUGAAGAGAAGAUAAGAUUAAAUUUUAUUUAUUGUUUAAAAAAUAUAAUAUUUCAAAUUGUAAUUUAAUGACCUACAAUCUAUAUCAAAAUUGAAAAUAAGUUUUAUGAUAAAUUAAUAAAUUAUUUAUUUAUCUCUUAUAUUUAUUUUUAUUAAUAUUUAAUUUGGUUUAAAAUUGAAAUUAAGUCUUAUAAUAAUUCAAUAAAUUUAUUAUUUAUUUUCUAUAUUUGUUCUUAUUAAUUUUUUUUAUUAAUAAAUUCAAAUAUAUAAUGACUGCUUAAAAAUAUUGAAAUUAGAAGGGUUACCAUAUGUCCAUGCAUAUGUUAUAAUACUAAUGUUUUGAAAAAAAAAGAUAUUAUAUAAUAAGUAAUUAAGUAUUUCUUAUUAAAUUAAUUAAUCAUAAUGAAUAUAACUAUACUUAAUUUAAUUUAUCCUUUACUAUUUAAUAAACAGGCAUAUUUUAUUAUUUAUAGAAUUUUGACAAGUAAAAUAAUAAUCUUAUUCAAAUAUGAUUUAUAACUUUUAUAAAACUCAAAAAAAAGAGUAUACUUUAAUCAUAAUUUUCUAUUAAAUGGUAUCAAAGUUAAGUAUGAAAGUUGAGACGUUAUACUAAUAAGAGUACAUGUACCAAAGCAAGUGAGAAUAUGAAAAAAGUCAAAUAAAAAUAUUAGUAUAUAAUUUUUUUCCUUUUAAGUCUUGUAUAGAAAUCAAGGAGAUAUUUGAAAUCAAAUAAUUAAAUUAAACAUGAAACCAAAUUUCGGGACCAAAUUUUAUGAUAAUAAAAUUAUUUUUUAAUCAACUUUCUUAGAUUAAAAAAAUAAAUACCACCUUGAUUAUUGGCCAUAACAUUUACCAAUUUUAAAUUAAAUAUAUUGUUUAUUUCUUUUACACUAAAUUUGAAAAAAAAUUGUGUUAAUUAUUUUAUAUAUGUUUAAAUACUUUUUGUCUUUUAUAUAAGAUCUUUUUAAUUAAAAAAAAAAGAAAAAAAAAGAACAAAUAUGAAUUAAUUUGAGCAAGAAAUUUGUGGAUUAAAAAAAAUAUUUGGAAAAGAGAAAAUUUUCAAAUAGAUAGCAUUGUCAAACAAAACCCAAAAUAGUUGAAGUGAAAAUAUUGAAAAAAAUAUAAAAUGACAAAAGAAAAGAAAGAUUUUCAAACUUUAAAGAGAAUAAAAUUUAUAAUGAACGGGAAAUUUAAAAAGUUUUCAAAUGAUGAUUUUUUAUAACAUUAAUUAUAUUAAUAAUGUGGUUUUAAAGAUAAUGAAAUUUAUAACUUUAAGAAACUUUUGGAAUUUAAAAAAAAAAAAAGUGAAUGGUAAAUAAAGAAUUAAUGAUUGGUUUUAAUACAAUAUAUUUUCAAAAUAAAAUAUAUAUAUAUAUAUUAAAUUUAAAUAUUCUUAUGAAGAAAAUUAUUGACUUAUAUUAUGUUGUUUAGAAUUAUUUUUAAAAAUUAUAUUUUUAAUUCGUUUUUAAAAACCAUUCUAUAUUUUGUAAAACUUAUUAUUAUUUUUUGUUUGUAAAAAUAGUAAAUAGAAUCCAGAUUAAAUUAAAUAAUUUUAUAUAAAAAUAUAUAUAAUAUAUCAAAUUGUUCAAUCAACUAAAAAAUAUAUAUAUAAAGAAAAAAUAAGUUUUAUUCUAAAAAUAUUUUUAAAAAAUCAAAAGAAUUAAAAUCUCAAUAAAAAAUUCAUCAUUUUGAUAAAUUUAAUAUCAAAAUCUUAAUAUUUUUAAAAUAAUGUUAUAAUUUUCUUAAUAAAAUUUAAAUUUGUUCAAACAAAUAAUGUAAAUGAUUUAUGAAAGUUUUAUUCAAUAAUUAUCUAUAAUAUAAUAAGUGUUAUUAUUAAUUCACUAUUAUUUAAUUAAAUAUAAAAGUUUAAAAGAUUUAAAUAUCUCAAAAUGAAUGAAAAUCAUUAUUACAAUUGUAAAAAGUAAAAAGUUUUAUGUAAUUUUUUUUUAAAAAAAAUAAAGAAAUAAAGAGAUAGAGUUAGAGAAUUCCAACUCGGAAUUUUAUAGUGAUUCAGUACUUUCUUGCCUACGUCCACUCUCUUCAAUCUCCUAACCGAGUGAGGGUUCCACUAGCUUUAAACUUCAACCAAGCUUCCAAUCCCUUACACUUGAAUACCGACUCCAAUGGGCUCUUACACAAUCUUGAAUAUUCAAACCUCUUGAAAGGUUUAACACUCAAAUUUUAUAAGAAAGAUACCCUCAACUUAGCUUAAAGAUAGCUCAAAUACAAAGCAAGGCUAGGAUGACUCACAAGAGUACACUAAGAAAUAAACGAGAGCUUUUGGGCCAAGAACAUGUAGGUAGACAAUUGAUUGCAAGUAUUCUCUAUGUCAUAAAUGAAAUGAAGCUCUCAAUUUAUAGAUUUCUAAGCUCGAGAGCCAAAAACAACAAAAGGUAGCCUCGACCGGUCGAGUUAGGGGUCGAUCGAUUCACUAGCCGUUAGAGCAUUUAAUGCUUUGACAGGUUACCGUUGCCUCGACCGGAGGUCGACCAGAUCUUGACAGGGAAUGGGUGAACCUCAACUGGAAAAGGAAGUUACUGAAUGAGAGAAAGUACUUUUGGCACUCUUCGACCGGACCUCGAUCGAAGAAGGGCAACCGGUCGACCGGUUCCCUAACCGAUUGAGCCGGUUGGCUAGAGCUUCAACCGGUUCAGCAUUUUGGUCCCAAAAACCUAUUUUUAUCAAUUUCUUUUUUUUCUAACACUUAGGCAAGGUCUUUAGGUGAAUUAAUAUGUUAAUUUUAAAACGUUUUGCCUAAGGUACAUUUGAUAAAACUCGAGUUUUAAUUAAAUCGAAAUUUUAAAGGAUAAACCAAGUUUUCAAAGAUGCAUGAAACGAUAAGAAAAUCCUAAGUGCACUCAUGCAUUCAUCUUACAUUCGUUUCCUAUGAUCAGGAGUCUCCCAAAAGACUUGAUUUUGUAUCCAUUUGGUCAUUUGAUGAAUUUUUAAAUUUAUACCUGAGAUUAUUUACCAUUCAAAUUAAUUAGUCACUUAAUCAUAGUUUGUUAUCAUUAAACCCCGAUUAAGAGAACCAACCCUUGGGUUAACAGUAUUAAAUAUAUUUUAUUUAUUUUCUCAAAAUACACUGGAAUAUGAUUUAACAUACUUCAAAUUUUUUAUUAAGAAAAAAUAAAAAACCUGAUUUGUGGAAGAAUUCUAAACAAUUCCUAACUAUUCUUCAUCUUAAUUGUAAAUCCAAAAUCAGAAAAAUACUUUGCGAUGAUCUCUUAUCAUGACCAGACUUCUCUCUGCAUAUAUUAUAAAUAAACCAAAAUCAAUAGUUGAGACUGAUAGGAUGAAUGAUAUAAUAGUUGUGUUAGAGGAACGUUGGAUGAUUAUGUCGAAGAUGAAUGCUCAGUUUGAGAGGUUUUACACAAACAUUAACCUUUUCCUUCAUAGUUUAUUGAGAGCAAUUUUAUAAUUGAAAUUAAAUAGAAAAUUAAAAUGAAGUAUCAAAUUUGAAUAUAAAUGAAUGAAGAUGAAGGAGUAACAAAAAGAUCAUAAAGGUGAUUAUGACAAAUGAAUGUAAAAAAAGGUAAAAUAAAUAUGUAGAUUUAAUAAUAAGUUAGUUUUUUUUUACUUAAACUUUUUUAUUUUUAUUUUAAGUUAUGUCAUUAAAUUAUUUUACCAAACAUAUUUAAUUUAUUUAAUAACCUAAAUUAAGUCAUUAAAUCACUUUAAGUUAUUAAGUUGGUUUAUCAAAUACCUACUUACUAUGUCAUUUUUUUUUCUUUUUUCUUUUUGUUAAAAUAUUUAUAUUCAAAUUCAAACUUUUAUGAAGUUAUAUUGUGUUAUUAAAAAUAAUUUUCAAAUAUUUUAAAAUUUGUAAAAAAUUAAUAAAUAAAAAAAACACUUCCUUAAAUUUUAAAAUUUUUGAAAAAUAUCAAUUUUGUCUCUUGUUAUCCUUUAAGUAAAAUAAAUUCCUUUUUAUGAUAUAUUUUUUAAAACAUAUUAAAAAAAUGAAUAUUUCUAAAUACCACAUAAACUGCUUCAAUAAUUUAAUAUAAAUAAUAAAAUUAUCGAGAAUUUUUUACAUCCAUCUCAAAACACCAUGUUCUAAGUUUUUAACAUAAAAUUUAAGAUUGUUGAGACUUGAGAGUCAAAUUUAAAAGGAUUAGCUAACCACUCCAUAUUAUGAAGAAAAAAAAAAUCAAAAUUUUGGUUUCAAUAGAUGCGAGAAAUUCAAACUUACACUCAUUUCUUAUAAAUCAAAAUUUUGGUAUGAAUAAUUAAGUUAGUUUGCGUUAAAAGCCUUUCGAGGGUGUUUGUUUGUUUUUUUAUAUAACUUUUUGUUAAAAGUAAUCUGUUUUUAGACUUUAGGUCAUUUGUUUUUCUAUUUUCUUUUAUUAUUUAUUAUAAUUUUUUGUUCAAUAGAAAAAACCAAAUAUUUUGAGGGUGUUCGUUUUUUUUUUUUUACUAAAAGUAAUUUGUUUUUAGAAUUUAGGUCGUUUGUUUUUCUAAUUUUUCAUGACUUAUUAUAAACUUUUUACUAAAUAAAAAAAAUCAAAAUAUUUAACUUUUCUAAAUAGAAAAAAUAACAUAUUGAUUUUUUUUUUUUUACUUUUUAAUACUUAAUAGAAAUAAAAUACUACAGAAACAAACAAACUAAUAUUUAAUACUAUUAAACAUUAAUGUUUUGUUUAGAAUUGAGUAAAAAAACAAACACAACCUUUGACUUUUUAUAAAUCGAAAAAGUAACAUGUGUAUAUUUCUUUACCUUUCAAUGUAUUAUAAAAAGCAAUAAUAUAAUAUUUAACACUAUUAAGUAUUAAAGUUCUAUUUAAAAUUAAAAAAAAAACACACACCACCUACAUAUGUAACUCUGGUGCUGAAAUUUUCUAAAUGUUAAAAAUUUAUUAGAAAAAUUUUACUAGCCCAAGUCAAUCUAUGUUGAAAAGGCCUUAAAAAAACACAAAGGGUUUUAGUAAUGAAAUAUGGCGUGGGUAUUUGGACAUGGACCGGCUGGUAGUGGUGGCGGCCCACUCGGCCCGCAUUUAGAGAAUGUUGAGUUUUGAUUCUUUUGAAUGAUGUUAAAAAUAUAUAUAUAUAUAUAUAUAGAAAAAUAAUAAUAGAGAAAAUCAUUCCACUCUAUUUGAAAAACAUGGAGAAUGUGAUAAUUUUUUAUUUUUUAAAAAAAAAAGUAUUUGUGUAUUAGGGUAAUUGAUAAUUUUGUUUCAUUUCUUGUCAUUAGAGGUGACUUGUGUUUAAUCGGUGUCAAGAUCAAUAUAGGGAUUUGGAUUUGGAUUUGGAUGUAUUAAGGUAAGUAUGAAUUUAAAUAUUAAUAAAACUAUUAGAAUGUCUAAUACAAAUUAGGUUGAAAAGUUUGAAAAGAAAAUUUUGGCAAAAUUUAAUUUUGGGAAAGCUCUUUUCUUUACCAUUUUUUUAUUUCUAAUUUGUUUCUUCAAACUUUUUAACACCCAAAUAUUAUAUUAAAUUACACAUAAUACACAACAUCAAUGAAAAUAAAAUCCUUUAUUUAUAUUUUAGAUAAAAAUUAUAUUUAUUUGUAUUUUUAUUUUUAAAAUCUGAGAGAGAAAAUUUUGGUAUGGUGUUAAAUUAUUAAUUUGACUUAAGAGCCUUGAUAUUUAACUGGACUUGAAAAAUGUAAUAAAAAAUUUUAAAAAUAAAAUUAAAAAAACAAAGAAAGAAGGUAACAUCACCGCAGAAAAGCAGGCCCCGCAAGUCAACCUACUUCAAAACGGCCAACCUCCAAAAAAAAAUGUAAAAUAAAAUAAAAUUAGAAUUGUGAGAAUAAGGCGUGCGUCCUUCUACGUCGACCCCGCAGUGGCGACCAACUUGGCCCUUGGGCUCAGCCCAUGGUCAUGUAAAAUACUUGGAACUUUACAGUGGCUGGAGAGCGGAGUACACCCAAUUCUACGUAAACUUUGCCAAUUUUAUUCACAAACGAGAUUCAUUAAUCAUAUCAAAUGAAGACGAAGUUUCCCAAUUUUGAAGAAUCUCAAAAUUCGGUUGAAAUUAAACAACUUAUCGUUCAUGAAACGGUUUCCUAAUUCAAUAACACAGGCGGCCCGCAAUAGGGUUGUUUAACACUACCCUGUAAUGCCACGCGCCGCCAAAAUGAGCAGAUGAAAAAAUCCGGCAACUCGACGGGUAAAAAAGGGUUUUCCGGCAACUUUUUUGGAAGUGGGCAAUCGUGACCGUCUCUGAGUGGAACCGGUGAAAAGAAUCCGGUAUAAGCCGGUGGGUUUCGGAUUUGAGUUUGUAACAGGGGAGAGGAAAAAGAACGAGGUGUGAACAGAGAGGAUGGCCUAAGAGCCCAUAAACAAGCCUCGGAAUAAAAAGGUUUUCCGGCAACUUUUUUGGAAGGGGGCAAUCGUGACCGCUUCUGGGUGGAACCCUGAAAAGAAUCCGGUAUAAGCCGGUGGGUUUCGGAUUUGAGUUUGUAACAGGGGAGAGGAAAAAGAACGAGGUGUGAACAGAGAGGAUGGCCUAAGAGCCCAUAAACAAGCCUCGGAAUAAAAAGGUUUUCCGGCAACUUUUUUGGAAGUGGGCAAUCGUGACCGCUUCUGGGUGGAACCGGUGAAAAGAAUCCGGUAUAAGCCGGUGGGUUUCGGAUUUGAGUUUGUAACAGGGGAGAGGAAAAAGAACGAGGUGUGAACAGAGAGGAUGACCUAAGAGCCCAUUAACAAGCCUUGGAAUCAUACACAGAAACCAUAAUUCAAUGGAAUCAUCCAAACAAAAAAAAACAUGAAGAAGCCUGGAAAAUGAUGCUGAAAACUGAAAGAUACACAUUACACACCUCAUCCCAACCCACCCCAUCAUAGAACAGUGGGUUGGGAUAAUACACAGAAACCAUUAUUCAAUGGAAUCAUCCCAAAAAAAAAAAAAAAAAGAAGCCUGGAAAAUGAUGCUGAAAACUGAAAGAUACACACCUCAUCCCAACCCACUCCAUCAUAGAGCAGUGGGUGGAUCACAAGUUACAGCUACAAAUAGAUAGAGAUACGUAUCAUGGUUGGAGAGGGAAGAUCUUUUUCUCAUUCUUGUCUGCGGUGGGUUUGGGUGGUUCAGCCCCUCCACCACCCUUGAUGGGGCGGUGCUCUCCGCAGCAAUUUGGGAGCAGGGUAGCAAUGGAAUCCACCACGUACUCCAGCACCAUCGUCUGCACAAGCUUCCUCUUUUUAGGGAUGAGACUCCCUGUAUUUUUGGGUUUGAAGGUGGGAGGCUUUGUGGCCAUUUCCUCACCUGGCUUCUGUCGUGCCUCCAUCCCUCUGUUUGUCUCUCUCCCUAUCGACGGUUAAUUCAAGCACUGGUGGCUGGUGAGGAGUGAGGCUUAUGGGUUAUAUUAUGUGCAUAACCAGGCAGCCGUCGACAAGAA
RNAcentral lists this long non-coding RNA (9953 nucleotides) under Vitis vinifera (wine grape). Its description in RNAcentral is "long non-coding RNA (VVIN_LNC005886)". Lineage: Eukaryota; Viridiplantae; Streptophyta; Magnoliopsida; Vitales; Vitaceae. The record is from RNAcentral.